Molecule: ribosomal RNA, 260 nt
Filed under: uncultured bacterium
Lineage: Bacteria
Description: partial 16S ribosomal RNA
Rfam family: Bacterial small subunit ribosomal RNA
Source: RNAcentral
GAGUUUGAUCGUGGCUCAGGAUGAACGCUAGCGACAGGCUUAACACAUGCAAGUCGAGGGGCAGCACAGGUAGCAAUACCGGGUGGCGACCGGCGCACGGGUGAGUAACGCGUAUGCAACUUACCUAUCAGAGGGGGAUAACCCGGCGAAAGUCGGACUAAUACCGCAUGAAGCAGGGGCCCCGCAUGGGGAUAUUUGCUAAAGAUUCAUCGCUGAUAGAUAGGCAUGCGUUCCAUUAGGCAGUUGGCGGGUAACGCCCA